ACGGGGGGAGCAAGCGUUGUUCGGAUUUACUGGGCGUAAAGGGCGCGUAGGCGGUCAGCACAAGUCAGUUGUGAAAUCUCCGGGCUUAACUCUGAAAGGUCAACUGAUACUGUGCGACUAGAGUGCGGAAGGGGCAACUGGAAUUCUCGGUGUAGCGGUGAAAUGCGUAGAUAUGCGGAGGAACACCGAUGGCGAAGGCAAUCCCCUGGGCCUGCACUGACGCUCAUGCACGAAAGCGUGGGGAGCAAACAGGA
Molecule: ribosomal RNA, 254 nt
Filed under: uncultured prokaryote
Description: partial 16S ribosomal RNA
Rfam family: Bacterial small subunit ribosomal RNA
Source: RNAcentral